RNAcentral lists this ribosomal RNA (741 nucleotides) under Salmonella enterica. RNAcentral describes it as "bacterial SSU rRNA". It matches the Rfam family "Bacterial small subunit ribosomal RNA", at positions 802 to 1533 of the family's 1533-position model. Lineage: Bacteria; Pseudomonadati; Pseudomonadota; Gammaproteobacteria; Enterobacterales; Enterobacteriaceae. The record is from RNAcentral.
GUAAACGAUGUCGACUUGGAGGUUGUUCCCUUGAGGAGUGGCUUCCGGAGCUAACGCGUUAAGUCGACCGCCUGGGGAGUACGGCCGCAAGGUUAAAACUCAAAUGAAUUGACGGGGGCCCGCACAAGCGGUGGAGCAUGUGGUUUAAUUCGAUGCAACGCGAAGAACCUUACCUGGUCUUGACAUCCACAGAAGUUUUCAGAGAUGAGAACGUGCCUUCGGGAACUGUGAGACAGGUGCUGCAUGGCUGUCGUCAGCUCGUGUUGUGAAAUGUUGGGUUAAGUCCCGCAACGAGCGCAACCCUUAUCCUUUGUUGCCAGCGGUCCGGCCGGGAACUCAAAGGAGACUGCCAGUGAUAAACUGGAGGAAGGUGGGGAUGACGUCAAGUCAUCAUGGCCCUUACGACCAGGGCUACACACGUGCUACAAUGGCAUAUACAAAGAGAAGCGACCUCGCGAGAGCAAGCGGACCUCAUAAAGUAUGUCGUAGUCCGGAUUGGAGUCUGCAACUCGACUCCAUGAAGUCGGAAUCGCUAGUAAUCGUGGAUCAGAAUGCCACGGUGAAUACGUUCCCGGGCCUUGUACACACCGCCCGUCACACCAUGGGAGUGGGUUGCAAAAGAAGUAGGUAGCUUAACCUUCGGGAGGGCGCUUACCACUUUGUGAUUCAUGACUGGGGUGAAGUCGUAACAAGGUAACCGUAGGGGAACCUGCGGUUGGAUCACCUCCUUACCUUAAAGAA